GCGGGAUUAGGCAUUUACUCCAGGGGACCCUCUCGGGUUUGGUCGCAUUCUCGUUGAUUUAUCUCACAUCUGAACGCGAUUUCUCUUCCUUUCACCAUUGCCUCUCGUUUCGGUGCCAACGCAAGGGCAUUUAACCGGUAAAGGGGACAUUUGCAAACGUUUUACAAAAAGUAUGGACCAGUUGUAGAUCAAACAAACAGUGAACAACUAAACAGCCGAAGAACGACCGAAAAGAAGGAUCACGAAAGGGGAUGCUGGACCAAUGAGAACCAUGUGCAUCAUGUGGUCAGUUGUCACGGCUCUCCUUGUCGCCAUGCUCUUCGGUAUCAUCCAAUCAGAACUGCAGGAAGGAGCCCUCAUUCCAGAUACAGACACCCAGGAUAAGGCCAGUGAAAAGGCUGCCCCCACCCCCUCGUCUGAACAUGAGGAUG
Molecule: long non-coding RNA, 431 nt
Organism: Oncorhynchus gorbuscha (pink salmon)
Lineage: Eukaryota; Metazoa; Chordata; Actinopteri; Salmoniformes; Salmonidae
Exons: 3
Source: RefSeq, a predicted model, not a curated record